GCGCUAGUGGUUCAGUGGUAGAAUUCGAGCUUCCCAAGCUUGUGACCCGGGUUCAAUUCCCGGCUGGCGCA
RNAcentral lists this transfer RNA (71 nucleotides) under Nanobdellota archaeon. Its description in RNAcentral is "tRNA-Gly". It matches the Rfam family "tRNA". From Rfam's summary of the family: Transfer RNA (tRNA) molecules are approximately 80 nucleotides in length. Their secondary structure includes four short double-helical elements and three loops (D, anti-codon, and T loops). Further hydrogen bonds mediate the characteristic L-shaped molecular structure. tRNAs have two regions of fundamental functional importance: the anti-codon, which is responsible for specific mRNA codon recognition, and the 3' end, to which the tRNAs corresponding amino acid is attached (by aminoacyl-tRNA synthetases). tRNAs cope with the degeneracy of the genetic code in two manners: having more than one tRNA (with a specific anti-codon) for a particular amino acid; and 'wobble' base-pairing, i.e. permitting non-standard base-pairing at the 3rd anti-codon position. The record is from RNAcentral. Lineage: Archaea; Nanobdellati; Nanobdellota.